RNAcentral lists this ribosomal RNA (253 nucleotides) under uncultured bacterium. RNAcentral's name for it is "partial 16S ribosomal RNA". It matches the Rfam family "Bacterial small subunit ribosomal RNA", at positions 524 to 776 of the family's 1533-position model. The record is from RNAcentral.
UACGAAGGUGGCAAGCGUUACUCGGAAUUACUAGGCGUAAAGGGCAGGUAGGCGGUUUGAUUAGUCUGUUGUGAAAGCUCCCGGCUUAACUGGGAGAGGUCAACGGAUACUGUCGAACUUGAGUAUGGGAGAGGGUACUGGAAUUCCUGGUGUAGCGGUGAAAUGCGCAGAGAUCAGGAGGAACACCCGUGGCGAAAGCGGCUCUCUGGAACGGUACUGACGCUGAGACGCGAAAGCGUGGGGAGCGAACAGG